UCCCGGCGGUCCAAGUCGCAUCCACAAUUAUUGGGUCUAAAACAUCCGUAGCUUGCUUUGCAAGUCUCUUGUGAAAUCAGGCCUCUCAAAGGUCUGGCGUGCAAGAGAUACUGCUAAGCUUGAGACCGGAAGACGCGAAGAGUACGAUUGAGGUAGUGGUAAAAUAUGUUAAUCUUGGUCGGACUAACAGUGGCGAAGGCGCUUCGCGAGUACGGAUCUGACAGUGAGGGAUGAAGGCUAGGGGC
RNAcentral lists this ribosomal RNA (245 nucleotides) under uncultured archaeon. RNAcentral's name for it is "partial 16S ribosomal RNA". It matches the Rfam family "Archaeal small subunit ribosomal RNA", at positions 474 to 718 of the family's 1478-position model. The record is from RNAcentral.